RNAcentral lists this long non-coding RNA (281 nucleotides) under Carica papaya (papaya). Its description in RNAcentral is "long non-coding RNA (CPAP_LNC006733)". The record is from RNAcentral. Lineage: Eukaryota; Viridiplantae; Streptophyta; Magnoliopsida; Brassicales; Caricaceae.
GGCCCUUGGUGCACAGGGCCUAUCUGCGUGGGCCUGCUACGCAGACGGCGCGCGAACAGUGUGCGGCGCCUAUCCAUGCACGAGGUGAGGCAUGGAUGGCCUGCCUGCGCGCAACAGGACGCACGCAGGUCCUGACUCUACGUAGUACGCACGUCCCAUGCGUGCAUGCGGAGGGAUGGGUGAGCUAUGCGCACGUCUCGCAGCCCAUGUGCGAGCAUACCCACGUGCACAGUGCUCGGCACCCGCGCGGGCAACCAGACUACUCGCGGGAUUUUCUUUCC